This 102-nucleotide non-coding RNA is filed under the name Candidatus Neoanaerotignum galli. RNAcentral's name for it is "SAM riboswitch (S box leader)". It matches the Rfam family "SAM riboswitch aptamer (S box leader)". Rfam says of the family: The SAM riboswitch is found upstream of a number of genes which code for proteins involved in methionine or cysteine biosynthesis in Gram-positive bacteria. The SAM riboswitch acts at the level of transcription termination control. Lineage: Bacteria; Bacillati; Bacillota; Clostridia. The record is from RNAcentral.
CUUAUCCAGAGUGGUAGAGGGACAGGGCCCUGUGACACCCGGCAACCGGCAAUUUUUUGUAGCGGUGCCAAUUCCCCCGUCGAACGUAUGGCGGAAGAUGAG